GCUUCCAUAGCUCAGUCGGUAGAGCGCAUCCAUGGUAAGGAUGAGGUCAUCGGUUCAAGUCCGAUUGGAAGCUCCA
This 76-nucleotide transfer RNA is filed under the name Pullulanibacillus camelliae. Its description in RNAcentral is "tRNA-Thr". It matches the Rfam family "tRNA". Rfam says of the family: Transfer RNA (tRNA) molecules are approximately 80 nucleotides in length. Their secondary structure includes four short double-helical elements and three loops (D, anti-codon, and T loops). Lineage: Bacteria; Bacillati; Bacillota; Bacilli; Caryophanales; Sporolactobacillaceae. The record is from RNAcentral.